RNAcentral lists this ribosomal RNA (705 nucleotides) under uncultured Lachnospiraceae bacterium. Its description in RNAcentral is "bacterial SSU rRNA". It matches the Rfam family "Bacterial small subunit ribosomal RNA", at positions 28 to 732 of the family's 1533-position model. Lineage: Bacteria; Bacillati; Bacillota; Clostridia; Lachnospirales; Lachnospiraceae. The record is from RNAcentral.
GAUGAACGCUGGCGGCGUGCUUAACACAUGCAAGUCGAACGAAGCACUUUGAUCGAUUUCUUCGGAUUGAAAUUUUAGUGACUGAGUGGCGGACGGGUGAGUAACGCGUGGGUAACCUGCCUCACACAGGGGGAUAACAGUUGGAAACGGCUGCUAAUACCGCAUAAGCGCACAGUACCGCAUGGUACAGUGUGAAAAACUCCGGUGGUGUGAGAUGGACCCGCGUCUGAUUAGCUAGUUGGCAGGGCAGCGGCCUACCAAGGCGACGAUCAGUAGCCGACCUGAGAGGGUGACCGGCCACAUUGGGACUGAGACACGGCCCAAACUCCUACGGGAGGCAGCAGUGGGGAAUAUUGCACAAUGGGGGAAACCCUGAUGCAGCGACGCCGCGUGAGCGAAGAAGUAUUUCGGUAUGUAAAGCUCUAUCAGCAGGGAAGAAGAAAUGACGGUACCUGACUAAGAAGCACCGGCUAAAUACGUGCCAGCAGCCGCGGUAAUACGUAUGGUGCAAGCGUUAUCCGGAUUUACUGGGUGUAAAGGGAGCGCAGGCGGAAGGCUAAGUCUGAUGUGAAAGCCCGGGGCUCAACCCCGGUACUGCAUUGGAAACUGGUCAUCUAGAGUGUCGGAGGGGUAAGUGGAAUUCCUAGUGUAGCGGUGAAAUGCGUAGAUAUUAGGAGGACACCAGUGGCGAAGGCGGCUUACUGG